ACAUUCGUGGUUCAUUGGUAGAAUUCUUGCCUUUUAUGCAGGCAACCCAGGUCCGAUUUCUGGCCAGUGCA
This 71-nucleotide transfer RNA is filed under the name Loxodonta africana (African savanna elephant). It matches the Rfam family "tRNA". Rfam says of the family: Transfer RNA (tRNA) molecules are approximately 80 nucleotides in length. The record is from Rfam by way of RNAcentral. Lineage: Eukaryota; Metazoa; Chordata; Mammalia; Proboscidea; Elephantidae.